RNAcentral lists this non-coding RNA (30 nucleotides) under Mus musculus (house mouse). The record is from RNAcentral. Lineage: Eukaryota; Metazoa; Chordata; Mammalia; Rodentia; Muridae.
UAGUAUCUUUAAAGGUGCUAUCUAUCCAUC